UGAUGAGGAAUGAUUCAACUCCAAGAGAGACAGCAUGGAAAGGCCACUACCAUGAUCUGAAUUCUGUUAAUUCUGCUUUUUUUUUUUGCAUGGAUAUUAUGAUGCUUUUAUGUCUGUUGGUUCUGUAAAAACUCUCUUUUACAGAGCAAAUUUCUGUUAAUGUAUAUGUUACAGUAUACCUGUACAUUUAGUCAGUUACAGAAAAUAUACCUGUACAUUUAGUCAGUUACAGAAAAUAUACCUGUACAUUUAGUCCGUUACAGUAUACCUGUACAUUUAGUCAGUUACGGAAAUAAUGGAAAAUAAAUCUUUCAAAGUCCAGUUACAGAAAAUAUAGUCAGUUUCUCUGCCUCCGUGUAGUGAAACAAAAAAAAUCAUGGUGUUGCUCUGAAUUAUAUAAGCCUGUUGAUGUGUUUGUUUGUAUUAGACAUAUUUAUUAUCUUGUUGUGAAUUAUAUAAGACAGAAUUAUAUAAGCUUAGUUUUUAUUUUGUAUUAUGAUGUAUUUAGAGUUGAAAUGAUGUUUAUUCUGUUGUAGUUAUAUAUUACUCCCUCCGUUUUUAAAUAUAAUAUUCAUGCCUCCACAUACGGCUUUCCGGCCACAGAGCGCAAGGCACGAUGGACCGGCUCGUCUAACGACCACAUGCAUGGAAUUAGGCGGCCAAUUUAACGACGGCUAGGAGGCAAUCUUAGGUGGAGCGCAAGGCACGAUGGACCGGCUCGUCUAACGACCACAUGCAUGGAAUUAGGCGGCCAAUUUAACGACGGCUAGGAGGCAAUCUUAGGUGGAUGCGCGGCGCAACAGCCCAGUGGGUAGUGAAUAGGAUUUCUCCGUUGAGGCGGCAUCGGAAAGGAGAUGUCAAGAUUGCAGCUAGGGUGUGGAUUUAC
Molecule: long non-coding RNA, 886 nt
Filed under: Hordeum vulgare
Lineage: Eukaryota; Viridiplantae; Streptophyta; Magnoliopsida; Poales; Poaceae
Description: long non-coding RNA (HVUL_LNC007520)
Source: RNAcentral